This 419-nucleotide ribosomal RNA is filed under the name bacterium. RNAcentral describes it as "partial 16S ribosomal RNA". It matches the Rfam family "Bacterial small subunit ribosomal RNA", at positions 355 to 776 of the family's 1533-position model. The record is from RNAcentral.
UGGGGGAUAUUGCACAAUGGGCGAAAGCCUGAUGCAGCGACGCCGCGUGGGGGAUGAAGGCCUUCGGGUUGUAAACUUCUUUUGCUCUGAACAAGGCGCACCAUGGGGUGUGUUGAGUGUAGGGGUUGAUUAGCGCCGGCUAACUACGUGCCAGCAGCCGCGGUAAUACGUAGGGCGCGCGCGUUGUCCGGAAUUAUUGGGCGUAAAGGGCUUGUAGGUGGCUGGUUGCGUCUGUCGUGAAAGCUCAUGGCUUAACUGUGGGUUUGCGGUGGGUACGGGCUGGCUUGAGUGCAGUAGGUGAGGCUGGAAUUCCUGGUGUAGCGGUGGAAUGCGCAGAUAUCAGGAGGAAUACCGGUGGCGAAGGCGGGUCUCUGGGCUGUUACUGACACUGAGGAGCGAAAGCAUGGGGAGCGAACAGG